Molecule: ribosomal RNA, 253 nt
Filed under: uncultured bacterium
Lineage: Bacteria
Description: partial 16S ribosomal RNA
Rfam family: Bacterial small subunit ribosomal RNA
Source: RNAcentral
UACGAAGGGGGCUAGCGUUGCUCGGAAUCACUGGGCGUAAAGCGCACGUAGGCGGAUUGUUAAGUCAGGGGUGAAAUCCUGGAGCUCAACUCCAGAACUGCCUUUGAUACUGAGGAUCUUGAGUUCGGGAGAGGUGAGUGGAACUGCGAGUGUAGAGGUGAAAUUCGUAGAUAUUCGCAAGAACACCAGUGGCGAAGGCGGCUCGCUGGCCCGAUACUGACGCUGAGGCGCGAAAGCGUGGGGAGCAAACAGG